UAGGACCUUCCAUGUCUGUCACAGGGGCUU
RNAcentral lists this non-coding RNA (30 nucleotides) under Mus musculus (house mouse). The record is from RNAcentral. Lineage: Eukaryota; Metazoa; Chordata; Mammalia; Rodentia; Muridae.